CAGUAGCCGCGGUAAUACGGAGGGGGCUAGCGUUGUUCGGAAUUACUGGGCGUAAAGCGCACGUAGGCGGCUUUGUAAGUCAGAGGUGAAAGCCCGGGGCUCAACCCCGGAAUUGCCUUUGAGACUGCAUCGCUUGAAUCCAGGAGAGGUGAGUGGAAUUCCGAGUGUAGAGGUGAAAUUCGUAGAUAUUCGGAAGAACACCAGUGGCGAAGGCGGCUCACUGGACUGGUAUUGACGCUGAGGUGCGAAAGCGUGGGGAGCAAACAGGAUUAGAUACCCCUGUAGUCCCUGUCUCUUAUAC
This 301-nucleotide ribosomal RNA is filed under the name uncultured bacterium. Its description in RNAcentral is "partial 16S ribosomal RNA". It matches the Rfam family "Bacterial small subunit ribosomal RNA", at positions 509 to 807 of the family's 1533-position model. The record is from RNAcentral.